This 76-nucleotide transfer RNA is filed under the name Aquimonas sp. RNAcentral's name for it is "tRNA-Lys". It matches the Rfam family "tRNA". Rfam says of the family: Transfer RNA (tRNA) molecules are approximately 80 nucleotides in length. Their secondary structure includes four short double-helical elements and three loops (D, anti-codon, and T loops). RNAcentral also lists the same sequence under 2 other names. The record is from RNAcentral. Lineage: Bacteria; Pseudomonadati; Pseudomonadota; Gammaproteobacteria; Lysobacterales; Lysobacteraceae.
GGGCCGUUAGCUCAAUUGGUAGAGCAGCGGACUCUUAAUCCGUAGGUUCAAGGUUCGAGUCCUUGACGGCCCACCA